CCUACGGGAGGCAGCAGUGAGGAAUAUUGGUCAAUGGGCGCGAGCCUGAACCAGCCAAGUCGCGUGAGGGAAGACGGUCCUAUGGAUUGUAAACCUCUUUUGUCGGGGAGCAAAAGACGCCACGCGUGGCGUUCCGAGAGUACCCGAAGAAAAAGCAUCGUCUAACUCCGUGCCAGCAGCCGCGGUAAUACGGAGGAUGCGAGCGUUGUCCGGAUUUAUUGGGUUUAAGGGGUGCGAAGGCGGAAGAUCAAGUCAGCGGUAAAAUUGAGAGGCUCAACCUCUUCGAGCCGUUGAAACUGGUUGUCUUGAGUGAGUGAGAAGUAUGCGGAAUGCGUGGUGUAGCGGUGAAAUGCAUAGAUAUCACGCAGAACUCCGAUUGCGAAGGCAGCAUACCGGCGCUCAACUGACGCUCAUGCACGAAAGUGUGGGUAUCGAACAGGAUUAGAUACCCGAGUAGUC
RNAcentral lists this ribosomal RNA (459 nucleotides) under uncultured bacterium. RNAcentral's name for it is "partial 16S ribosomal RNA". It matches the Rfam family "Bacterial small subunit ribosomal RNA", at positions 338 to 795 of the family's 1533-position model. The record is from RNAcentral.